GGACCAUCAUGUCGGUCGUGCCUCGGUACGUACUGGUAUUGUUGGUUUCUCCCUUCUGAAGAACCAUGAUGUCAUUUAUUUGGUGUUGUGGGGAAUUUGGACUGUUACUUUGAAAAAAUUAGAGUGUUUAAAGCAAGCUAACGCUUGAAUACAUUAGCAUGGAAUAAUAAAAUAGGACGUGCGGUUCUAUUUUGUUGGUUUCUAGAGUCGCCGUA
RNAcentral lists this ribosomal RNA (215 nucleotides) under Campeiostachys nutans. Its description in RNAcentral is "Elymus nutans partial small subunit ribosomal RNA". The stretch from base 46 to 215 matches the Rfam family "Eukaryotic small subunit ribosomal RNA", at positions 693 to 864 of the family's 1831-position model. The record is from RNAcentral. Lineage: Eukaryota; Viridiplantae; Streptophyta; Magnoliopsida; Poales; Poaceae.